This 89-nucleotide transfer RNA is filed under the name Bacteroidales bacterium. RNAcentral's name for it is "tRNA-Ser". It matches the Rfam family "tRNA". Rfam says of the family: Transfer RNA (tRNA) molecules are approximately 80 nucleotides in length. Their secondary structure includes four short double-helical elements and three loops (D, anti-codon, and T loops). Lineage: Bacteria; Pseudomonadati; Bacteroidota; Bacteroidia; Bacteroidales. The record is from RNAcentral.
GGUGAGGUGGGUGAGUGGCUGAAACCACAUGUUUGCUAAACAUGCGUACUGGGAAACUGGUACCGGGGGUUCGAAUCCCCCUCUCACCG